UACUCAGGGCAGGGUGCAAUUCCCGACCGGUAGUGAUGACGGCAUGACCGUAUAAGUCUACGAGCUAAGUGCAGAUAUGGUGAGAAUCCAUAACCGACAGUACAGUCUGGAUGAAAGAGGAGG
Molecule: non-coding RNA, 123 nt
Filed under: pig gut metagenome
Description: FMN riboswitch (RFN element)
Rfam family: FMN riboswitch aptamer (RFN element)
About the family: The RFN element is a highly conserved domain that is found frequently in the 5'-untranslated regions of prokaryotic mRNAs that encode for flavin mononucleotide (FMN) biosynthesis and transport proteins. This element is a metabolite-dependent riboswitch that directly binds FMN in the absence of proteins. In Bacillus subtilis, the riboswitch most likely controls gene expression by causing premature transcription termination within the 5' untranslated region of the ribDEAHT operon and precluding access to the ribosome-binding site of ypaA mRNA.
Source: RNAcentral